UUGUUGCGUAUAUGGUUGUCAGAAUCGAUAUUCCACCGGCGGACUAAAGUUUUAUAGGAUUCCGACAGGAUCACAACCAUUUAAGAGCAACCGGCGGCGUCUGUGGCUGCAGGCGAUUAAACGUGUUGACUGGAAUGAGGACAUAAUAAAAAAUGCUCGGGUCUGUAGCGCCCACUUUAUAUCAGGUGAGGCGUCAUUGGACUCUAGUAGCCCCGAUUUUGUGCCUUCUGUGUUUGUGUACACAAAACAAAGCCAGAACCCCGAUGCAAAGAUGGACAGGUACCAUAGGAAAAGGAGGAGAGAGAGACCUAACAGACCUAACACUGCAGCAAAUCCUCCGGUUCCAUCUGAAACUCCAGAACAAGAAUCUAUGUCAUGGUAUUUGACGUUCUGUACAUGACCACAGACAACGUAUUCAUAAGCAUCCAGUGACUUAUAGGCUCGUAAUUUCUCUCUGGUGU
Anoplopoma fimbria (sablefish) is the source of this 461-nucleotide long non-coding RNA. RefSeq lists it as uncharacterized. NCBI's taxonomy places the organism in Eukaryota, Metazoa, Chordata, Actinopteri, Perciformes, Anoplopomatidae. The transcript is spliced from 3 exons. The record is from RefSeq and is a predicted model, not a curated record.